This is a long non-coding RNA of Gossypium arboreum, 429 nucleotides long. RefSeq lists it as uncharacterized. The transcript has 2 exons. The record is from RefSeq and is a predicted model, not a curated record. Lineage: Eukaryota; Viridiplantae; Streptophyta; Magnoliopsida; Malvales; Malvaceae.
ACUCAAAUUUGUCCAACGGUGUUUUUUUUGUUAUAGAAUUUCAAGGAUCCAUUGACAGACUCUCAAUUAUAUUACUCUACGAUCGACAAACAAUUUACUUGUGGGAAAGAGCUAAAGAUUCGAGGACGAAUUUUCUUGAGGAAUGGUGGAAUGAUACGAAUCUCAAGACCCAAUUUCACAUUUAUGGAUGUGAUGGGCUUACACUACCUCAAGGCCCAACAACAAGGUUAAAUGUCAAACAAAUCAAACCAAGAUUCGAUCAAAGCUAGUAUAUGAUAAUGAAUCUUUUCGAGGAAAUGGAGAAUGAUACAUGCACAGAAUGAGUGAAAUGUAUUAAAGUCAAUUCAAUCAAGCUGUCAACUUUCAAGCUGAAAAGAUUAGUCAACUUAUGACAAAUUUUUGGAUGGGAUCCAACCAUUUUUGGAUUAA